AAAAAAAAAAGGAAACAUGCCUAUUUGUAUGACACUUUUUUUCUUUAUUUAGUUAAGCUUGCCGGAGUAUUUCCUUUAGGUACCUUUAACAAAAGCACUUGAAUAUUUCAGGAUUCCUUUUUGGGCUGCUGAGCUAAAGAUUCCAGCUCACUGAGCUGUAUGCUCAGAGGGCCUGGGAUACUUUAUAUGUCAUGUUUUCAUGCUCUGGACUGCUGCCCAGACAACAUCUCCCAAGAGCAGGCCACUGCCAUGAGAAACAGAGCUGAGCUGGCUUAAUGCAAGCACGUUAAGAAUGACCAUGCUGGUCAGAGUGAAGGUACAAGCAUCAUCACGCUUGGUCUCCAGCAACCAUCAUCAGUGGAUAUUUAAGGAGAGAAUAUAGGGAAUGGGAUAUUUCCCAGGUGCCAGUCAUAAGCGGUUCAAUGACUUCUUGAGGCAGAAGUUGUAGCUGGAUUGUCAUGUUUAGUACUCAGUAUGGAGCUGUCCUCUGCAAAUUGCUUCUUGAAUCCAUGUUCCCUUUGGUGAUCAAGCACUGGGCUCUCCUGUUUAUUUUGGAAAGGGUACGAACGUAUGGCACCCAAAGCUGCAGUUCCAGCAGGCAAACAGCAGCCUGAAGUCAUGCAACUUAACGCUGACAUGACAUGAAAUACUUCGGAUUUAGUUCAAGAAAAUGCUGACUUUUCAUUUAAGGGGAAUGAAAAGAAAUUGGAAUGAUUUAGGCAAAAUCCCCUUUUUGCCCCCAAGGACUUUUUUUUUUAUUAUUAUUUAUUUUUUUUCAGCUGAGAUUGUUCUUUCUGUGGAUGGAAAAUUCCCAACCUGCUUGAGUUGGCAAGCUCUUGUUUUUAGCUAAAGCAUAUGCUGAUGUAUGUUUGUAUCUUCCUCCAACAAAAAGCUGUGGAUAAAUAAAGAGCUGAAGGCAGCAUGCAGUUCCCUUCCCCAUUCCAACAGUCUUCAUGUUGCCAGCGGGUGGGAUGGAAAAAUGUCGACUACGGUUCAGUCUGCAGGAAUGACAGCAAAAUCAUACUAAUUUUAAAGCAUAAAAUAUAAUUCCAACUCUAUCACCUGCCCUACAGGAGACUUCACUGUAAAUGCAGGAAGAUACUGAAAAGUUGAUCUCCAGCACCCAUUGCCUGAGAGAUGACAAAUGAGAAGAUGGAACAACCUGCCUUUAUUUCAAUAGGAGGACUAUUAAACUUCCAAGAGCAAAGUUUGUAGGCUCAUCAUGCUAGAUUAUAAAGAUUAUCUAAUAAUUCUGUAUGGAAAAUAGAGUUCUUAAAGGCUUUUGCCUCUCCCUAGCUUGUAACGCUUUGCCUUAUUACCCUCGAGCAAAGGCAAGAAAUGCUUAAGCUGAUUUUUCACUGACAUUCUGCACGCUACUGCUGGCUGCUCUGCUCAAUCUUAGCAGCUGCGAGAGGCUGGCGAGUCUGUGGGAAAGGUGUCUGCGUGUUCUUGGACACAUCAAGCUUGCUCCUAGUACUUGACGAAUGAUUUCGCAGCUGUGGCAGCAGCUCCGUUUUGCAGAGCUGGCCAUUUUAGAUUUCGUUUUAAGCGUGUUUUAACUUUUCUGUCCUGAAGUUUCCCUCUGAGGUUUAUCUGCCAGAAGUCCGCUUUAUUUCAGAGUGAAAGUUCUGAGGUUAAUUGAACAGGGCACUCCGGAGAUGAGGGAUUGAAGUCCAUGAGACCUUGCAGAUUUCAUAAAAUGCACUGAUACAUCUUUAGCAGGCAUUUCUCAGGUCAAUUCAUGGAGGUUACACUCUUCAAAACCAACGAAACCCAGUGUUUCCCUGGACUGUAAUGAGCUACACUAAGCAGUUGUGCAUCUACUCCCAGAUCUGGCAAGUCAGGGUUUGAGCUCCUGACAGGGAAGCUUUACGUUACGUUAUCAGCUGAAAUUUGAGUCCUUUUCAUAAACCCACUACUUUUUCUCCAAAGCCAAUUUACAAAUGCACUUAGUAAAUAAGAGUUGAGAAAGUGGCUUUAACUUGAUUACAGGCUUUUCCUCCUCUGCUUUGUUCCCUUGCAGCAAAUGACUCUGAUGAAUGGCAAGUCCUGUCAGCCUGUAACUGGCCUCAGCCAACUCCGAGCCAGUGGGGGCAGUGGGAAGAAAGGAGGAAGAAACAAUUAUGUAGGACUCCAUUAACAUCUGAAUAUUUCACAGCAAACAGUUUUUGGAGUAUUCAGUGCUUCAAGGCUGCUAUGUGGUGUUCAGCAAGUUUCCAUCUCUCGGGCAGAUGGAGGUGAUUUUUCCACCCUUCUUGUCCCAGAGUUGCCUGCUCGGUCAGUGCUGCGAUUUCAUCCCCUGUAGUGUUUCAACACUUGCCCCGCCACGCUGCUGAACCCAACCUCUUCCUACCACGAGAGCGCAGGAGGUGGGUUCUCGUCUGUGUGGCAGUGCUGUGUGUUUCUGCUAAACCCAGAGGCUGUUUUGCACCAACUGGUGAAAUAGUCCAGGGAGAUCACGUCUACAGGGGGGCUGUGACAUCAUCCUUGCACUGAGAUGGCAUCAUCAGCUCUGCUGCUAUAAGGUAGUGGAUGGCCUUGUCACUCCUGUACAGCUGUCUGUGAGGGAGGGACUGGGGUGAUGCAGAAUUUUUGCCUACUCGAUAAAUGUAGAUUGUAAUGAUAAGUGUAUUCAUUGCCCCAUUCAUCUGACAGCUGUGUGUUUACUGGGUAAAAAACCUGUAUAUACUGAUGCAUUUCUCAAGGAACUCUAAUCCCUCAGCACCGAGGAAAGUAAACCACCACACAGACGAUGGUAGACCAUUCCUUUUGGAUCAGAUGGUCACUUCCCGUUUCCUUGGCUUCUGAGCUUCUUAGGAAGAUGCAUCGUUGCACUGACAGUGAACUGAAGUUAUGAAAACUGUGUCCCAAAGAUGUUUUUCCCAAUACCGUCUGGUUUGCAUUCUGAGGUUUCCAAAUCUUCUCCUCCCCAGCACCACGGGAUCCAUCCGUACACAAAGGUUGCUCGAGUGGCCUGCUGCUGCUUCGCUGAGCAUCCCAACAACUCCAGUGGUUGCCUCGGUGGCACAACAGACACUGCAGGUCUCAGCUGGACACUGUUUGGAUUGGAAAGCCCCUUCCAUUGAAGACUCCUCAUGGGGCUUGAAACCUCCCUGUGUUUUCAGGCAGCCUGCUGAAGGGCAAUCCCAUCUGUUGGGGCUGAUACACAGACACUCUCCAAAUCGAUGUGAUAAUACCGUAACACCGUAUGGAGGCAGCGAGGACGUUGCACAUUUCUUGGGGGGUACCGACCAAACAUCCUUCUAGAGGGGGGCCUCACUUGGCCAAAACUGCAGAAACCCAGAAACUUGACGUGGUUUGAUGCAGUCCAGGCCCUCCUGAUUUCCUACACAACUGGUAAAGCCGUAUGUAGCCGGAAGUUCUUAAUGAGCAACCAGGAGGGAUUAGAGAGCCUGGAGCAGUUUGUGCAAAGCAUUUGGACUUAAAUCUGAUCCCGUGUCACACUUUCUAAAACUCUUAGCGGCGUCCUGGUGUGCUAGGUUUUUUCAGCCUAGGAAGCAGGGCUCGAUAUGGGAACCCCACCCCUAAAUCAAAUUUCUCCCGCUGUUCUGGGCUGAGUAGGUGACUUUGACAGCAUAAGGUGCUGCCAGCACGGGAAGCUUGUGUGUUGUUCCCCUUCUCAUGGGAAUAUUUUGACUAUGUGGAUCAGUAGGAUGUCCUCUGAAGGACAAAGGAGACAAGCUGCUGGCAAACAGGACACUGUGUUUGAUGGAUCAUGGAGCUGAUGGACCAUGGCAAGCCUUAAACGGGGGAUGCAGCCAGCAGUGCCCACUUUCAGACAAAAGUUGAUUGAAUCCUCCUUUCCCUGAGCCAAUCCUCAAGUCUUCUCAUUGCCAGCAGCAUUUUCACAAAGAGCUUCCACAGCUCCAGACCCUUCUCCUUUCUUCUGCUCAGCUGUACGCCUAACAAACGUUCGUUUUUUUUUUUCCUUAAUCCAAACAUCUCUAUCUUUUACAACUAUAAACAACAUUAACUCCGCAAGCAAUCUUGAAGAACAAAGGCUUUUAGAUAAGAUUAGCUUGCAGCAGAGAUAUUUGUAAGGUUUUUUUUUCCCCCUUCCCUCCUGCUUAUGAAUUUCACCCGUUGGCAGGCAGGUUGGGGAUUGUUAUAUAACAGCUCAGCUACAUAUAAUUAGAGGACACGAAAUUAUAUAGGAAACAGACAUAUUACUCAGUGUGGAUACUACAAGCUUACCUGAGUUUCAAAAGCACAUGGGCGAGCUUGUGAAGAAGAAAAACAUUAAUGACAAGUGACUGUAAAUAUAUGGAAUGUGAAGGUACCAUGUCUGGCUCAGAAAGUCCUUCAGCUGUAGAUCAGAGGUCUGUGAGAGUAUUGUGGGGAAAGAGCUGCUGUUAGAGACAAGAAAGCUGGACUAGGAUGAUCUUUGCUUGAUUUGCUGUUGUUGCUUUUAUGUUCUCAGUUCAGUUCACUGAGUGAUGAGCAAUACCUGCCUACCCACAGCAAGGAGCAGAUGAGGACCUCACAGAGCUUUUCAAACUAACUACUCUUUAUAAAAAUGCUGGCUUUCAGGGCCAUUUAUUAUAAGCAGAACACUAAGGCAUAAGGAAGCUAAGUGCAGUAAUUACAUUUGUAUGGGUCUUUCCUGUUGGCUGUACCCACUAGAUUUUUAUUCAUACAAUGGAGUCAUUUUUGUGUGGUUUUCUGCUUAUCAAUUUCUGUUCUAAAAAUGAUUAGCGCUUGAGUCAUGCUUACCCUCAAAAACUCUUAGUACUCUCUGUGUUUGAAGGUGCUCCUGAAAGCAAACCAAUCUCCUCCUGGGACUUGGAUUUCUGUUGUGACGCACUUCACUUGUAAAAGAGAAGCAGCAAUAUGUUUAUUGAUACCAAACAGUGAUUUGACAAAGUUGGAUAGUAAACAUGACAAUGGUUUAACA
Tyto alba (common barn owl) is the source of this 4915-nucleotide long non-coding RNA. RefSeq lists it as uncharacterized. The record is from RefSeq and is a predicted model, not a curated record. The transcript has 2 exons. Lineage: Eukaryota; Metazoa; Chordata; Aves; Strigiformes; Tytonidae.